Long non-coding RNA from Helianthus annuus (common sunflower), 820 nucleotides. RefSeq lists it as uncharacterized. The record is from RefSeq and is a predicted model, not a curated record. The transcript has 2 exons. Lineage: Eukaryota; Viridiplantae; Streptophyta; Magnoliopsida; Asterales; Asteraceae.
CUCUCUCUCUCAUAUAUCACUUUUCAUCUAACCAUUUUCAAAAUAAUUCAUUAGAUAUUAGAGAGAGAAAUAUCACCUUUUCAUCAAAGCCACCAUCAAAGCUAUGAGAUCUGAAUAUCGAAGAUCAAAGCCACCAGAUUUGAAGAUCGAAGAUCGAAGACACCAUGUGUUCAUGUACUCAUCCCUUUCUUUUGAAGCCACCAGAUCUGAAGAUCGAAGCCACCAGAUCUGAAGAUCGAAGCAGGCUGAAAUCGUUUGGUUGCAUGAGUUUCUAGAGAGGGAAAAUUAUGGGAACACCAAGACCAAAAACACACACAAGUGUGCGAGUGAGAAGCAGGUCAGAAAUCAUUUGGUUCAUGGGUUUUAGAGAGAGAAAGUUGUUAGAACACCAAGAACACACACACAAUUGUGUGAGAGAGAAGCAGGUGAAUGGAUGUUUUGUGUUCAAGAUGAAGAUGGUUAUCAAGGAGCAAAGCAAAUUGUUUUGAAGUAACAAUGAAGGAAUCUUUUUUCACAACAUUAUGUAGAUACAUAUUAGAAUGCCUAUUGUUACUUCAAAACAAUGGACAAUUCUAACAUGUGUAACACAUUCUAACAUGUUUACGGACCUAUUUUUUUGAGGGUGCACCCCCGUAACCAAUUCGGUAACCAAUGAAACCAUCAUGUAUUACUUGUGUUAAACACUGUUGUUAUGCGGUUACUUGGUUUAUAUUAUUUGACAAUGAUUCCCAUGUGUUGCAUAUACUUUUGUAACUUGUGUUACAAAUCACAUGUACUAGCAUGUUUGGAUGUAUACACGUUACAUAUACCAAGUGUUUUU